AUUGAACGCUGGCGGCAGGCCUAACACAUGCAAGUCGAAUGGAAACAGGAAACAGUUUGCUGUUUCGCUGACGAGUGGCGGACGGGUGAGUAAUGUCUGUGAAACUGCCUGAUGGAGGGGGAUAACUACUGGAAACGGUAGCUAAUACCGCAUAACGUCGCAAGACCAAGGAGGGAGACCUAAGGGCCGCUUGCCAUCAGAUGUGCCCAGAUGGGAUUAGCUAGUAGGUAGGGGAACGGCUUACCUAGGCGACGAUCCCUAGUCGGUCUGAGAGGGUGAACCGCCACACUGGAACCGAGACACGGUCCAGACCCCUACGGGAGGCAGCAGUAGGGAAUCUUCCCCAAUGGGCGGAAGCCUGACGGAGCAACGCCGCGUGAUUGAAGAAGGUCUUCGGGUUUUAAAACUCUUUUAUGAGGGAAGAACGGAUGUGAAAUUAACUCUGUGCUCAUUGACGUUACCCGCACAAGAAGCCCCGGCUAACUCCGUG
RNAcentral lists this ribosomal RNA (490 nucleotides) under uncultured bacterium. RNAcentral describes it as "partial 16S ribosomal RNA". It matches the Rfam family "Bacterial small subunit ribosomal RNA", at positions 30 to 507 of the family's 1533-position model. The record is from RNAcentral.